RNAcentral lists this ribosomal RNA (423 nucleotides) under uncultured bacterium. Its description in RNAcentral is "partial 16S ribosomal RNA". It matches the Rfam family "Bacterial small subunit ribosomal RNA", at positions 359 to 774 of the family's 1533-position model. The record is from RNAcentral.
GAAUUUUUGACAAUGGGCGAAAGCCUUAUCCAGCAAUGCCGCGUUCAGGAUGAAGGCUUUCGGGUUGUAAACUGUUUCUGUACGGAACGAAAAGCUUUUGGUUAUUACCCUGGGUACAUGACGGUACCGUAACAAUAAGCACCGACUAAUUACGUGCCCGCAACCGCGGUAAUACGUAGGGUGCAAGCGUCAAUCGGAAUGACUGGGCGGAAAGCGUGCGCAGGGGGUUUUGUAAGACAGAGGUGAAAUCCCCGGGCUCAACCUGGGAACUGCCUUUGUGACUGCAAGGCUAGAGUACGGCAGAGGGGGGUGGAAUUCCGCGUGUAGCAGUGAAAUGCGUAGAUAUGCGGAGGAACACCGAUGGCGAAGGCAACCCCCUGGGCCUGUACUGACGCUCAUGCACGAAAGCGUGGGGAGCAAACA